RNAcentral lists this ribosomal RNA (456 nucleotides) under uncultured bacterium. RNAcentral's name for it is "bacterial SSU rRNA". It matches the Rfam family "Bacterial small subunit ribosomal RNA", at positions 29 to 479 of the family's 1533-position model. The record is from RNAcentral.
AUUGAACGCUGGCGGAAUGCUUUACACAUGCAAGUCGAGCGGCAGCGCGGGGGCAACUCUGGCGGCGAGCGGCGAACGGGUGAGUAACACAUCGGAACGUACCCAGUUGUGGGGGAUAGCCCGGCGAAAGCCGGAUUAAUACCGCAUACGACCUGAGGGUGAAAGUGGGGGAUCGCAAGACCUCACGCAGUUGGAGCGGCCGAUGGCGGAUUAGCUAGUUGGUGAGGUAAAGGCUCACCAAGGCGACGAUCCGUAGCUGGUCUGAGAGGAUGAUCAGCCACACUGGGACUGAGACACGGCCCAGACUCCUACGGGAGGCAGCAGUGGGGAAUUUUGGACAAUGGGGGGCAACCCUGAUCCAGCCAUUCCGCGUGAGUGAAGAAGGCCUCGGGUUGUAAGCUCUUCGGUCAGGAACGAAACGGUAGGUCUCUAACAUAGACUGCUAAUGACGGUACC